CAGUAGCCGCGGUAAAACGAAGGGCGCAAGCGUUAAUCGGGAUUACUGGGCGUAAAGCGUGCGUAGGCGGUGAGUUAAGUCUGCUGUGAAAUCCCCGGGCUCAACCUGGGAAUGGCAGUGGAUACUGGCUCGCUAGAGUGUGUCAGAGGAUGGUGGAAUUCCACGUGUAGCAGUGAAAUGCGUAGAGAUGUGGAGGAACACCGAUGGCGAAGGCAGCCCCCUGGGCCAAUACUGACGCUCAUGCACGAAAGCGUGGGGAGCAAACAGGAUUAGAUACCCCAGUAGUCCCUGUCUCUUAUAC
Molecule: ribosomal RNA, 301 nt
Filed under: uncultured bacterium
Lineage: Bacteria
Description: partial 16S ribosomal RNA
Rfam family: Bacterial small subunit ribosomal RNA
Source: RNAcentral